This 253-nucleotide ribosomal RNA is filed under the name uncultured bacterium. RNAcentral describes it as "partial 16S ribosomal RNA". It matches the Rfam family "Bacterial small subunit ribosomal RNA", at positions 524 to 776 of the family's 1533-position model. The record is from RNAcentral.
GACGAACCGUCCUAACGUUGUUCGGAAUCACUGGGCUUAAAGGGCGCGUAGGCGGGUUCCCAAGUCGGUGGUGAAAUCUUUCGGCCCAACCGGAAAACAGCCGCCGAUACUGGGAGUCUUGAGGGAGGUAGGGGUCGAUGGAACUUCCGGUGGAGCGGUGAAAUGCGUAGAUAUCGGAAGGAACGCCGGUGGCGAAAGCGAUCGACUGGACCUUUUCUGGCGCUGAGGCGCGAAAGCCAGGGGAGCAAACGGG